Loxodonta africana (African savanna elephant) is the source of this 101-nucleotide small nuclear RNA. NCBI's taxonomy places the organism in Eukaryota, Metazoa, Chordata, Mammalia, Proboscidea, Elephantidae. The record is from Ensembl.
GUGCUCACUUCAGCACACACACUAAAAUGGGAAGGAUGCAGACAUUAGCAAGGCCCCUGAGCAGAGAUGCCAUGCAAAUUCAUGAAGUGUUCCAUAUUUUU